AUUGAACGCUGGCGGCAGGCCUAACACAUGCAAGUCGAGCGGAUGAAGGGAGCUUGCUCCUGGAUUCAGCGGCGGACGGGUGAGUAAUGCCUAGGAAUCUGCCUGGCAGUGGGGGAUAACGUCCGGAAACGGGCGCUAAUACCGCAUACGUCCUGAGGGAGAAAGUGGGGGAUCUUCGGACCUCUCGCUAUCAGAUGAGCCUAGGUCGGAUUAGCUAGUUGGUGGGGUAAAGGCCUACCAAGGCGACGAUCCGUAACUGGUCUGAGAGGAUGAUCAGUCACACGGGAGCUGAGACGGGGACCAGACUACUGCGAGAGGCAGCAGAGGGGAAUAGUAGGCAGUGGGGGAGAGCCUGAUACAGCCAUGCGGCGUGUGUGAAGAAGGUCUUCGGAUUGUGAAGCACUUUAAGUUGGGGGAAAGGGCAGUAAGUUAAUACCUUGCUGUAUUGACGUUACCAACAGAAUAAGCACCGGCUAACUACGUG
Molecule: ribosomal RNA, 484 nt
Filed under: uncultured bacterium
Lineage: Bacteria
Description: partial 16S ribosomal RNA
Rfam family: Bacterial small subunit ribosomal RNA
Source: RNAcentral